RNAcentral lists this ribosomal RNA (468 nucleotides) under uncultured bacterium. RNAcentral describes it as "partial 16S ribosomal RNA". It matches the Rfam family "Bacterial small subunit ribosomal RNA", at positions 28 to 507 of the family's 1533-position model. The record is from RNAcentral.
GACGAACGCUGGCGGCGUGCUUAACACAUGCCAGUCGAACGGAAAGGCCCUGCUUUUGUGGGGUGCUCGAGUGGCGAACGGGUGCGUAACACGUGAGUAACCUGCCCUUGACUUUGGGAUAACUUCAGGAAACUGGGGCUAAUAUCGGAUAGGAGCUCCUGCUGCAUGGUGGGGGUUGGAAAGUUUCGGCGGUUGGGGAUGGACUCGCGGCUUAUCAGCUUGUUGGUGGGGUAGUGGCUUACCCAGGCUUUGACGGGUAGCCGGCCUGAGAGGGUGACCGGGCACAUGGGGACUGAGGUACGGCCCAGACUCCUACGGGAGGCAGCAGUGGGGAAUAUUGCACAAUGGGCGGAAGCCUGAUGCAGCAACGCCGCGUGCGGGAUGACGGCCUUCGGGUUGUAAACCGCUUUCGCCUGUGACGAAGCGUGAGUGACGGUAAUGGGUAAAGAAGCACCGGCUAACUACGUG